RNAcentral lists this ribosomal RNA (459 nucleotides) under uncultured bacterium. Its description in RNAcentral is "SSU rRNA". It matches the Rfam family "Bacterial small subunit ribosomal RNA", at positions 26 to 518 of the family's 1533-position model. The record is from RNAcentral.
AGAAUCAACGCUGGCGGCGUGCCUAACACAUGCAAGUCGCACGAGAAAGGGGAGCAAUCCCUGAGUACAGUGGCGCACGGGUGAGUAACACGUGAAUCAUCUACCUCCGAGUGGGGAAUAACUGAGAGAAAUCUUAGCUAAUACCGCAUAAUACCCACGGGUCAAAGCAGUAAUGCGCUUGGAGAGGAGUUCGCGGCAGAUUAGUUAGUUGGCGGGGUAAUGGCCCACCAAGACGAUGAUCUGUAUCCGGCCUGAGAGGGCGCACGGACACACUGGAACUGAAACACGGUCCAGACUCCUACGGGAGGCAGCAGUGGGGAAUUUUGCGCAAUGGGGGAAACCCUGACGCAGCAACGCCGCGUGGAGGAUGAAGCCCCUUGGGGUGUAAACUCCUUUCGAUCGGGAAGAUAAUGACGGUACCGAUAUAAGAAGCCCGGCUAACUUCGCGCCAGCAGCCGC